GCAGGGUGACAGCUCUGAGAGCUGUGAGCCCUGCCCUGUGCUUGCAGGCAAUGUCUGUGUGCUGGGUGCUGCAUGUGCUGCUGACAGCCCUGGGUGUGGGGCAGCCCAGGUUGGAGUGGCUCAGAGCCCCUCCCGACCCUGCAGCUUGUGUUCCAAGUGGUGGCAGCUCUGUGCUGGUGGAAUUGCUGUGGUGUGGUGGCAGUCUCUGUGUGUGGAGGCUGCUGCUCAGCUGUACUGCUGGGCUGGCUGCUUCCUGCAGCUGAAUCCCUCGUGCCGUGCUCAGUGCCCCUCUCUUGCAAGAUGAAGGCUGGGAGAUUCUUCCCAACUGUGAAGGAAAGGAGGGCACUUGCCAACUUGUUAGAGUCUGCACUGGACUUUAGACUCUUGUAUUUUGCUCAGUGCUGGAGCUGUCCCCAUGCACACGCCCCAGCUCCCAAUGUGUCAGGUGGCUGUCAGUGGCACACAGGAUUUCCCCAUGUAGAAACACUGCAUGGUGCUGUCACCUUCCUGGGGCUCUGGCAGCCUACACCAAAGCAGCACCAAAGGAAGCAAAGGCAGCAGAUGAUGCUGCAGCUGGGUGCAGAGGUGAGGAUGAUACCUUUGGGACCCAAAGUGUACCUUUGGGAGCUGUGCACUGCCCCUAUGGAGUGUGUGGUUCGCAGCUGUGAGCUGCAAACUGCUUCUGUGAUUUUUUUUUUUUUUAAUUGCAUGGGUCAACAUGCCCUGGGGCUGGCUGGGUGUCCCAGCACGGGAGGGGUUAAGCACAGCGAGGGGCAGGCGGCCCAUGGGUGUUGCUGGGAACCAGGAGCAGAGCUGCUGCCAUCUGCACAUUGCAAUUUGCAUGCCAAGUGAAGGUGAGGAGGGUUUGCCUUAAAGCACAGCAGAGGACACGGGAAGCACUGCUGUUGCUGUCCCAGGAGCAUGCGGUGGCAUCCAGCAGCACGGGAAUGGGGAACUUCAUGCAGGUCUGCAUCCCUGCUGCCUGAGCAGUAGCUGCAGGCUGUGUUGUGCUGGGGCUGCAGUGCUGCUGGUGUUGCAGGCAGAGCUCUGGUGCCUUGGUGUGGGAAAUGUCUGGCCAGUGCCAUGCAGCCAGUUUUUGUUCCAGCUUGGCUUUGCAUCCUUGGGGAAGAAGCGGUGAGCCCUGGGUGCUUGCAGGGGCUUGUGCCAUGGAGAAGCUGUGUGAUUGUGGGGCUGCUCCCAGCUCUGGUGCCCAUGGACAGGGUCUGCAUCCUGCAGCCACGUCCCUCUCCCUGAGCCCUCUUUCCUUUCCCCAGCAGAUGGGCUCCUCCCUUGUGCCAGUGGCUACUUUCUGCCUGGUGCCUCACUCAGUGCUGAGGCUGUGCUGGCGUGCAGCUGCUCUCCUAGCCAGGAUGGAGGUGUAAUGCAGCCGCUUAUUAUUCCGGGCAGGUUUGUCUGCAGCACUGCAUCGGCUCCACGGCUGCCUCCUCCCUACCGCCUGCAUGCUUGCUCCCUCGGCUCUGUUCCUGGGUGUCCUUCCUGCUGCCAGUUUCUGGUCUGGGAACUCUGCUCAGGAGGUGACACCAUGCUGCUGGUCUGGGCUCCCUGGCUGUGUGCUCCCACCAGCACUGUGUUCACUUGCUCUGCAGGAUGCAGGCACCCAGCACCUUGUCCUCUGGCAGAGGAGACCCUUGGACAGCACUCCUUCAUCUCCAGCACCUGGAGGCUCUGGAAACUCAUUACAGAGUGACGGGCAACCCUGAGCGCUGCUGGAGUCAUUAGGAACUCAUUAGAGUGUUGGCUUCUGGGGAAGCCCUAGUGCUGGCCAAGGUCCUCCUUUAUUCCUGACCGCAGGAGCGAGUCCGUGGGGCCAGUAUUACUGCCAGGACUGAGC
Long non-coding RNA from Chrysolophus pictus (golden pheasant), 1852 nucleotides. Lineage: Eukaryota; Metazoa; Chordata; Aves; Galliformes; Phasianidae. The record is from Ensembl.